RNAcentral lists this transfer RNA (65 nucleotides) under Aenasius arizonensis. RNAcentral describes it as "tRNA-Thr". Lineage: Eukaryota; Metazoa; Arthropoda; Insecta; Hymenoptera; Encyrtidae. The record is from RNAcentral.
AUGAUUAUUAAUUUAAAAAAAAUAUUAAUUUUGUAAAUUAAACUUAUGAAUGUUCAUAUAAUCAA